AAUGAACGUUGGCGGCGUGGAUUAGGCAUGCAAGUCGAGCGAGAAGAUUUAAAAAGAUACUUCGGUUGAUUUUUAAAUUGGACAGCGGCGAAAGGGAGAGUAACGAGUAGAUACGUGCCCGAGGGUCCGGGAUAGCUGCGGGAAACUGCAGGUAAUACCGGAUAAUGUUUCCGAACCAAAGAUUUAUUGCCCUCGGAUCGGUCUGCUUACUAUUAGCUAGUUGGUGGGGUAAUGGCCUACCAAGGCUCAGAUGGUUAGCGGGUGUGAGAGCAUGGCCCGUCUCACUGGGACUGAGACACUGCCCAGACACCUACGGGUGGCUGCAGUCGAGAAUCUUCCGCAAUGGACGAAAGUCUGACGGAGCGACGCCGCGUGAUGGACGAAGGCCCUCGGGUUGUAAACAUCUGUCGUAGGGGAGGAAAUUUUGACCGAUCCUAGGAGGAAGCACAGGCUAAGUUCG
Molecule: ribosomal RNA, 460 nt
Filed under: uncultured Planctomycetaceae bacterium
Lineage: Bacteria; Pseudomonadati; Planctomycetota; Planctomycetia; Planctomycetales; Planctomycetaceae
Description: bacterial SSU rRNA
Rfam family: Bacterial small subunit ribosomal RNA
Source: RNAcentral